Molecule: RNase P RNA, 386 nt
Filed under: Actinobacteria bacterium HGW-Actinobacteria-2
Lineage: Bacteria; Bacillati; Actinomycetota
Description: RNase P RNA component class A
Rfam family: Bacterial RNase P class A
About the family: Ribonuclease P (RNase P) is a ubiquitous endoribonuclease, found in archaea, bacteria and eukarya as well as chloroplasts and mitochondria. Its best characterised activity is the generation of mature 5'-ends of tRNAs by cleaving the 5'-leader elements of precursor-tRNAs.
Source: RNAcentral
CGAGUCGGCCGGGUGAUCGCGGCGCAAGUCGAGGAAAGUCCGGACUCCACAGAGCAGGGUGGUGGGUAACGCCCACCCGGGGUGACCCGCGGGAAAGUGCCACAGAGAACAGACCGCCCCGCAAGGGGUAAGGGUGAAACGGCGGUGUAAGAGACCACCGCGCUCCAGGUGACUGGAGUGGCAAGGCAAACCCCACCUGGAGCAAGGCCAAGAAGGACUCACGUCUUCGGACGCUGGGUCUGCGGACACCGUUUGAGCGCUGCUCGCGCGAGGUGCCCGGGUAGGUCGCACGCCUACGGGCGGAGGCGGUUGGCAACAACCGUCACAGAUGGAUGAUCACCGACCCCUCGGGGUCACAGAAUCCGGCUUACAGGCCGGCUCGUCCC